ACCAGUACCGUGAGGGAAAGGCGAAAAGAACCCCUGUGAGGGGAGUGAAAUAGAACCUGAAACCGUGUGCGUACAAGCAGUGGGAGCCUUAAUUUAUUAGGGUGACCGCGUACCUUUUGUAUAAUGGGUCAGCGACUUAUAUUCUGUAGCAAGGUUAACCGUUUAGGGGAGCCGUAGGGAAACCGAGUCUUAAUAGGGCGAUUAGUUGCAGGGUAUAGACCCGAAACCGAGUGAUCUAUCCAUGAGCAGGUUGAAAGUGCCGUAACAGGCACCGGAGGACCGAACCCACUGUCGUUGAAAAGCCAGGGGAUGACUUGUGGAUAGGGGUGAAAGGCUAAUCAAACUCGGUGAUAGCUGGUUCUCCCCGAAAGCUAUUUAGGUAGCGCCUCGGACGAACACCAUUGGGGGUAGAGCACUGUUUCGGCUAGGGGGUCAUACCGACUUACCAAACCGAUGCAAACUCCGAAUACCGAUGAGUGAUAUCCGGGAGACACACAGUGGGUGCUAACGUCCAUUGUGGAGAGGGAAACAACCCAGACCGCCAGCUAAGGCCCCAAAUUCCUAGUUAAGUGGGAAACGAGGUGGGAAGGCAUAGACAGCUAGGAGGUUGGCUUAGAAGCAGCCAUCCUUUAAAGAAAGCGUAAUAGCUCACUGGUCGAGUCGGUCUGCGCGGAAGAUGUAACGGGGCUAAGCGAUGUACCGAAGCUGCGGGUGCAUAGCAAUAUGCGCGGUAGAGGAGCGUUCCGUAAGCCUGCGAAGGUGACUCGUAAGGGUUGCUGGAGGUAUCGGAAGUGCGAAUGCUGACAUGAGUAACGACAAAGAGUGUGAAAGACACUCUCGCCGAAAGUCCAAGGGUUCCUGCGUAAAGUUAAUCUGCGCAGGGUUAGCCGGCCCCUAAGGCGAGGCCGAAAGGCGUAGUCGAUGGGAAAUCGGUUAAUAUUCCGAUACUUGUUUAUAAUGCGAUGGAGGGACGGAGUAGGUUAUGUCAGCCUGGCGUUGGUUGUCCAGGUGAAAGGAUGUAGGCUUACAGUUUAGGCAAAUCCGGACUGUAAUACGGCUGAGAUCUGAUAGCAAGCGGUACUUGUACCGUGAAGUGGCAAAUACCAUGCUUCCAGGAAAAGCUUCUAAGCAAUAGUUAUAAACGAAUCGUACCCUAAACCGACACAGGUGAUCAGGUAGAGAAUACCAAGGCGCUUGAGAGAACUCUGCUGAAGGAACUAGGCAAAAUGGUACCGUAACUUCGGGAGAAGGUACGCUGCCGAUGGUGAUAGGACUUGCUCCUUGAGCUGUUGGCAGUCGCAGAUACCAGGCUGCUGCAACUGUUUAUUAAAAACACAGCACUCUGCAAACACGAAAGUGGACGUAUAGGGUGUGAUGUCUGCCCGGUGCUGGAAGGUUAAUUGAUGGGGUUAGCGUAUGCGAAGCUCUUGAUCGAAGCCCCAGUAAACGGCGGCCGUAACGAUAACGGUCCUAAGGUAGCG
RNAcentral lists this ribosomal RNA (1481 nucleotides) under Conticribra weissflogii. RNAcentral describes it as "partial Bacterial large subunit ribosomal RNA". It matches the Rfam family "Bacterial large subunit ribosomal RNA", at positions 494 to 1961 of the family's 2925-position model. Lineage: Eukaryota; Bacillariophyta; Thalassiosirophyceae; Thalassiosirales; Thalassiosiraceae. The record is from RNAcentral.